Molecule: long non-coding RNA, 1501 nt
Filed under: Panax ginseng (ginseng)
Lineage: Eukaryota; Viridiplantae; Streptophyta; Magnoliopsida; Apiales; Araliaceae
Description: long non-coding RNA (PGIN_LNC010397)
Source: RNAcentral
CAAACGAAUAUUCCCCAACACAACGAAUAUUUUAUAUCAACUUGCUUACUUUGAAAAAUUUUCAAAUAUUACUCUUAACUUUAAAUAGAAUAACAAUUAUCAAAAAUUUGAAUACUUUCAUUUCGUAAAUUUCGGGGUCUUACAAUCUCCCCUCCUUAUGAAAUUUCGCCCUCGAAAUUUACGUACCUGGUAGUUCGAAGAGAUGAGAAUACCUUGCUUUCUUUUCGGAUUGUACCUUCCUGGUUAUUUCAUCUGUAUCAUGAUUUUCAUAUUGCUCAUCUCCUGUAUUUCAGAUAUCAUUCUAGAAUACAUCUUCCAAAUAAAGGUUAAUUGACAUAUCACAAUUUGUCAACUUAUCAAUUAAAUAAUUUCAACUUAGGUAAGUCACACACUAGCGAAGUAUGUUACUCAUCUCUCCCCUCCUAGUUCUAGACUCAUAUCUCCGCGAGCGACCAUAUUCCUAAGCUCUGAUACCAUUUGUGAUGCCCCCAAAAUAGGUCCACACGACCCAUUCUGAGUCGCCAGAUAUCACACUAUAGAAAUCAAAUACAAACUUCAUUUAUAUAACUGUUGAACUGUCGUGCAAAAUACGACUACAGUUAAUCCGUGAGUUUUAAUACAAAUAUAUGUAACUCUCAUGGUGCCUCGACCACAACACCUUACAAUGGUACUUUACAUAAAAGUAUAGUCAAUAAUUGUUUUAGAAAUUAAAAUCUUUGGAAAAUACUCAAGGAAACCUUCGUACAUGGGAGGCCAUGCAUCUCAGUUAUGAUAGAUAUCAUAUAACUCGAGAAUUAUCCUUGGUUGACCCAAUAGUCCCCAAAGAAAAAUGAGCAGAUUACUAUCAUGUUCUUUCUAAUGGUGAGUCUUCUAUUAACAUAUAAUUAUCUCCAUUGUCUCCAAUUGAGAAUUAUACUUCAACCAAACUCCAAGAUUAUAUAGGUAGUGCUCGUAGAUAUACUCAGUAAGUGGAUGUGCAUAACCCUGUCUUAUGUUAACACGAAGUCAUAUGUCAUUAGACAUCUCGUAUGAUAGUGGCAAAAUACCCUUCCAAAGUUGGGUUCGCUUCAUCCUAUUUGAUUUCCCAAAUAUAACUAUUAAAUGUCGUAUAAAAAUACAACACACUUAUCUAAAGUUUUUAAUAAAAUUAUUUUCAUACUGUUUAGGGAGAACCUCAACAGCUAUAGACCAACGUUCUAAUCCCAUGUUACCUUCGCUCGACCCAGCUACACUCUUAUUACGUGGAAGGAAUUGUGAAGUAAAAGGGUGAGCACAACUAGCCCAGUAAAGAAUAUCAUGACUAAAGAUAAUUAAAUUAUCAAUAGCCUUCGUCAGUAAUAAAUUAGAGAUUUAGAACAUAUGGUAGAUGAUAAAACUUUUCAACCAUAGUUGCAGCGGAACGAGCAAUCCAUUAGAAGAUUCAAAUAGACCACAAAGUCUGUUAUCUUCUCCAUGUUAAAAGUCCACCAACAAUAUUUUAUCCCUGUAACAUCAAUCAACA